UGUUACCACUGGCUGGCAUGU
Molecule: unclassified non-coding RNA, 21 nt
Filed under: Mus musculus (house mouse)
Lineage: Eukaryota; Metazoa; Chordata; Mammalia; Rodentia; Muridae
Description: oocyte_clustered_small_RNA6522
Source: RNAcentral